RNAcentral lists this ribosomal RNA (513 nucleotides) under uncultured bacterium. RNAcentral's name for it is "bacterial SSU rRNA". It matches the Rfam family "Bacterial small subunit ribosomal RNA", at positions 372 to 879 of the family's 1533-position model. The record is from RNAcentral.
UGGGCGAAAGCCUGACCGAGCGACGCCGCGUGCGGGAUGAAGGCCUUCGGGUUGUAAACCGCUGUCGUUGGGGAGGAAAUGCAGGGGGGUUCUCCCCUCUGUUUGACCUAUCCAAGGAGGAAGUACGGGCUAAGUUCGUGCCAGCAGCCGCGGUAAGACGAACCGUACGAACGUUAUUCGGAAUUACUGGGCUUAAAGGGUGCGUAGGCUGCGCGGAAAGUUGGGUGUGAAAGCCCUCAGCUCAACUGAGGAACUGCACUCAAAACUACCGUGCUCGAGGGAGACAGAGGUAAGCGGAACUCAAGGUGGAGCGGUGAAAUGCGUUGAUAUCUUGAGGAACACCGGUGGCGAAGGCGGCUUACUGGGUCUUUUCUGACGCUGAGGCACGAAAGCUAAGGUAGCAAACGGGAUUAGAUACCCCGGUAGUCUUGGCUGUAAACGAUGAGCACUUGUUUGAAGGGUCCUCCAUAGCCUUUCAGACGUAGCGAAAGUGUUAAGUGCUCCGCCUGGGGA